Long non-coding RNA from Leucoraja erinaceus (little skate), 1527 nucleotides. RefSeq lists it as uncharacterized. The record is from RefSeq and is a predicted model, not a curated record. The transcript is spliced from 2 exons. Lineage: Eukaryota; Metazoa; Chordata; Chondrichthyes; Rajiformes; Rajidae.
UUUAAUCACUCAAAUUAGCAGAGGGUGUCGGGUUAGAGAAAGUUGUUUUUUUUUUAAUUUGUGAAAUCGAUUUUAUUUCACGAAAAGUCGAGCAAAGUUAGUUAGUUCGAAUCUUCUACUUGCAAUGUAUUCCUACAUUGUAAUUGAUCAUUUCUUUCUCCCAGCUAAAUCUGAGUAAAACGUCGCACCUGUCGGCUGACUGCGAGUUACUCCGAAGCCACAUCGGUCAACAACACCCGCUUCUCGGCAUUUUGUGGACAUUUUAUUUGGAGCAGAUGGCGCGACAACAGGAAUAAUUGGCAGGACUGCGAAGCGAAAGAAAUAGGAAAUAUCAACACUGCCCCCGGACUAUAAAGAAACUACUCCACGAUCAACAGGAAUGGUAUCACUUACACAUUGCACAGGAUCCAGAAAACUAUUUCAAAGCAAAUUCACAAGCCCAUUAAAUCGACAUUGUCUUAAAAUGUUCCUCAAUGCAUUCGUUAUGCGAAGUGUAGUAUUAUAAAUUAUUAUUUAGCACCUGUCAGUAUAACACUAGACCUUUCAAGACCGUUUGAUAGUGUGUUAUUGGUAGGGUAUUACGUUUCGAAUUAAACGUGCCCUUAGAGUUCAACAUCGAAAACCUAAAGAAAUGGAGACUCGAGUUUGUACCCCUUAAAUAUUCAUCACACUCUUCCUUAAAUAUAUAUAUAUUUUUCACAAUUCAUAUUAAGCAAGUCGUCCCCUAGUUGGCAUACGAUUUCUCAUCGCGACUUUAAUCUUAUUGCAAUGUUUUUGGGCGGCAAUUUUCAUUUUCCUUAAAAUUCCGCUGCAAGUUAUAGAAAUGAAACACAUUUUUAAAUGUGGGUACGCUGGCGUAUUGUUAUAUUUUAAUUCUGAUAAAUAAUUAAAAAUGUAGGCUUUCAUUUCAAAUAUAGAAUCUGGUGGUUUUUAAUAACUUGCACGUCUAUUAAUAAAGGUAGUAUUUAAUAAUGUAUUUUAAUGUAUAUCACUGCUUCUAAAUAUUUGAUAAAUUAGUUCAUGUGGUGAAUCAAAUUGGGAAACAAUACACACUUUUUAAAAGUUGCUGCAAUUAAGUCCGUCAAGAGGCGCCAUCAAGAAAAAAACUGCAUAUGGACUCCGCGUCUCCAUCCACAAUGCUAAAUGAUUGUUGACAGUCUAUACUAUACAUUAACACAGCAGAGGUCUGCCGCUGACCAAAUGGAAUAUUUCUGAGCAAUUCUUGUUCCGUCAUGCAGCGUGGAAGAAAAUCAAAUCUCGUCCUAUUUUGGAAAUUCACGUACACGAACAUUUAAAACAUAAGCUAGCUGGAUAAUUUGAAAUGUAUUAGAACUGUCUGGCUUAUAAGGUGAAAUAACAAUCCAUGUUGCAUUGAAGGCGGUCACACGGUCUAAAAUGUCUCGGUUGUGGGCGUUCAAAUCUUUUACUUUUAUUUCAUAUUUCCAAUGUACAGUGGAAGAACACGCGUUUUUUUUGUUAAACCUGUUUAGAAAUCUUGCACUUGUUUGACUAAAAUAGUAUUAUCUG